This 94-nucleotide small nuclear RNA is filed under the name Hofstenia miamia. Lineage: Eukaryota; Metazoa; Xenacoelomorpha; Acoela; Hofsteniidae. The record is from RNAcentral.
GUAGCUUCAGCUGCACACAUAAUAAAAUUGGAACAAUACAGAGAAGAUUAGAAAUUUGCCUGCGCAAGGAAAACAUGAAGCGUUCCUCUACCUA